RNAcentral lists this ribosomal RNA (486 nucleotides) under uncultured bacterium. RNAcentral describes it as "partial 16S ribosomal RNA". It matches the Rfam family "Bacterial small subunit ribosomal RNA", at positions 899 to 1397 of the family's 1533-position model. The record is from RNAcentral.
ACUCAAAUGAAUUGACGGGGGAGCGCACAAGCAGUGGAGCAUGUGGUUUAAUUCGACGCUACGCGAAGAACCUUACCCACUCUUGACAUCCCGAGAACCCGCUGGAGACAGUGGGGUGCCCGGAAGGGAGCUCGGUGACAGGUGUUGCAUGGCCGUCGUCAGCUCGUGUCGUGAGAUGUUGGGUUAAGUCCCGCAACGAGCGCAACCCUUGUUGGGUGUUGUAUUUUUCACCCGAGACUGCCGGUGACAAAUCGGAGGAAGGUGGGGAUGACGUCAGGUCAGCAUGGCCCUUACGAGUGGGGCUACACACGUGCUACAAUGGCCGCCACAACGAGUCGCGAAACUGCAAAGUUGAGCUAAUCUCACAAAAGCGGUCCCAGUUCGGAUAAGAGGCUGCAAUUCGCCUCUUUGAAGUCGGAAUUGCUAGUAACCGUGGGUCAGCACACCGCGGUGAAUACGUUCCCGCUCCUUGUACACACCGCCCGU